This is a non-coding RNA of Solanum lycopersicum (tomato), 402 nucleotides long. NCBI's taxonomy places the organism in Eukaryota, Viridiplantae, Streptophyta, Magnoliopsida, Solanales, Solanaceae. The record is from RefSeq and is a predicted model, not a curated record.
AAAAGGGGGCAAUGCCAAAUAAAAGCUUAAGUUAAUAAAAACCCUUUCAGAAAACCUCUCUCAAAAAAAAAUAUAUACACUAAGUUAAAAAUUGAAGAAAUCCGAAAUCAAGUCAAAUAUCUUAGAUAGCGUGGAAAAUCAAGAGAUAAAGGUGCAGUAAGAGUUGGACAUUAGAGCUUAUAGUACGACGUUGCAACUAUUCUGAUGUGGAGGUUACAUUCGGACUUGGUAGGACAUCAUGCUUUCGAGGAUGUCUACCGCUAUAAUAUAGCUUAGAUGUAGGCUUUAGUUAGUGGAGCAUGUUCUACUAGUGUUUCAUUUACCAUUUCAUUUCAGAUUUUAUAUUGGUACCUUUUGGUAAGAAUACGUUUAAUGCAAUAACGAACUUCUUCUUUCAUUUGA